GGGCUCGUAGCUCAGCGGGAGAGCACUGCUUUGACGUAGCAGGGGUCAGUGGUUCGAUCCCACUCGGGCCUACCA
This 75-nucleotide transfer RNA is filed under the name bacterium. RNAcentral describes it as "tRNA-Val". It matches the Rfam family "tRNA". From Rfam's summary of the family: Transfer RNA (tRNA) molecules are approximately 80 nucleotides in length. Their secondary structure includes four short double-helical elements and three loops (D, anti-codon, and T loops). RNAcentral also lists the same sequence under 1 other name. The record is from RNAcentral.